GGGAAAUGUCUAAAAAUUUGACCCUGUUUGUCUAUAAAAGUAGCACAUGAAGGUACAUUUAUUAUUACCUAAUUGAAUUAACUAGGUGAAUAAAUAGCUUGUAAGCACAGUAAUAAAAAACUUUGGGUUUUUUAUUUUCAAUAAAUUUUAUUUAAAUGUAAAAUACAAUAAAUUAAUUUUUAUGCCCCACCUAUGUAGUAGAGGGGCAUUAUGUUUUCUGGUCUGUGUGUCCAUUCGCCCAUUUGUCUGUUCAUUCGUUUGUCUGUUCGUCCGUUCGUCCGUCUGUCCCGCUUUAGGUUUAAGUUUUUGGUCAAGGUAGUUUUUGAUGUAGUUGAAGUCCAAUCAACUUGAAACUUAGUGCCCCUAGUCCCAAUUGAUCUAAUCUUUCAAAUUUUAAUGCCGAAUUAAAGUUUUGACCCCAAUUUCACUGGCCACUGAACAUAGAAAAUAAAGUGGGGAAGUUCAGGCUAAAGUUUUUGGUCAAGGUAGUUUUUGAUGAAGUUGAAGUCCAUUCAACUUGAAAUUUAGUACAUAUGCUCCCCAUGAUAUGAUCUUUCUAAUUUUAAUGCCAAAUUAAAGUUUUGAUCCCAAUUUCACGGUCCACUGAACAUGGAAAAUUAUAUUGUGAGUUGGGCAUCUGUGUACAAUGCACACAUUCUUGGUUUUUUUUUUUAAGUUAAAUUGCCAGAGAAUAGGGUAGAAUCAUUGGUUCUUAAUUUCUUGUUAAUGAAUUCAUGAGAACAGACUCUGUAAGCAUAUCAGUUAAUGAAUAUUUGUGGUCUUGAAAAAUCAUGAUAUCUUUGAAAAUAGAAUAACUACUCAUUGCGCC
This 829-nucleotide long non-coding RNA is filed under the name Mytilus galloprovincialis (Mediterranean mussel). The record is from RNAcentral. Lineage: Eukaryota; Metazoa; Mollusca; Bivalvia; Mytilida; Mytilidae.